GACGAACGCUGGCGGCGUGCCUAACACAUGCAAGUCGAACGGAAAGGCCCUGCGUUUGUGGGGUGCUCGAGUGGCGAACGGGUGAGUAACACGUGAGUAACAUGCCCUUGACUGUGGGGGAACAUCAGGAAACUGGGGCUCAUACCGGAGAGGAGCUGCUGCAGCAUGGGGGGGGUUGGAGAGAUUCGGCGCUUGGGGAUGGGCUCGCGGCUUAUCAGCCUGUUGGGGGGGUAGGGGCUGACCAAGGCUUUGAAGGGUAGCAGGCCUGUGAGGGUGACCGGCCACCUUGGGUCUGAGAUGCGGCACCGACUCCUACGGGAGGGAGCAGGGCGGAAGAUUGCCGAAUGGGCGGAACCCGGGUGCAGCAACGCCGCGUGCCGUAUGACGGCCUUCUGGUUGUAGACCACAUUUGCCUGUGACGAAGCGUGAGUGACGGUAACGGGUACAGAAGCACCGGCUAACUACGUG
This 468-nucleotide ribosomal RNA is filed under the name uncultured bacterium. RNAcentral describes it as "partial 16S ribosomal RNA". It matches the Rfam family "Bacterial small subunit ribosomal RNA", at positions 28 to 507 of the family's 1533-position model. The record is from RNAcentral.